This is a long non-coding RNA of Corythoichthys intestinalis (scribbled pipefish), 1986 nucleotides long. RefSeq lists it as uncharacterized. NCBI's taxonomy places the organism in Eukaryota, Metazoa, Chordata, Actinopteri, Syngnathiformes, Syngnathidae. The record is from RefSeq and is a predicted model, not a curated record. The transcript is spliced from 2 exons.
GUGUGACAAUAUCUCGAUACAGCGAUAUAUCGCGAUAUUUUGCAACCCGAUGGGUUAUCGAUAUGCUCCCGCCAAGAAUCGAUACUUUUAUUUAACAUAUUGGCCAUACAAUGGAGUAUGGAUGCUGUAAACUGCUCAAUGUUUGUUGAGCAAUUCCUUGGCGGUCCACUAGGGGCGCUCGGGAGUGGCGGUGAGGGUAAAGUGCGCACAAGUUGUCUAGAGAAGAAGAGAAACUCCAAGUGGGUUGAAAAAAUAAAAAAGCUCCGUGAGAACGGUGGAGGGAAAAAAUGAGAAAAAUAUUGCUACAAAUCACACAUGGGGACACACUUUAGAUUUUACACCAACAAGAAAGGAAGCAAGGUGAACAAGGACUUUGCUGUAUGCAAGAAUUGUCUAAGAAAAAUAAGUUUCACUGGGAGCUGGUGACGUAGUGGACACUGGAGUUUGUGAGCUUUGCUUUCAUCACUUGAGGUGAGGAAGACUGUGACUGAGCAAGUCUGACAUCUUAAUUGCUGAAGCAGAUAGCGGAAGUGCUCAAACCAAGCAACAAAGUUCAUAUACGAAGAAAAGACCCACCAAUUUUAUCAUUGCCCCACUCCAAGCUCAACUGCUGACACCUACGGCACUUUUUAUUUAUUUUUUGAUCUCUCCAAGCGAUAUCAGUGGUCGUGGUUGGUUUCUUCUAUAUGUGCAGGGGCACAAUUUGCAGUAGAUUUAUAUUUUACAGCAAUGUUGCACAGAAAAGGUGUCACUGUUUAAUAAAUGACUUAAACAGUAUUUUUUUCUAUUUUCAAAUAUCUUUUUUUUUCCCGUUUCAACAGUUGUAUCGUAGAAUUUCAUGUAUCCAAUUUCUGACCAAUACAUCGAUAAUCGCUGUAUCGUGAUAUAAUCGUUAUCGUGAGCCUUGUAUCGCGAAUCGUAUCGUAUCGUGAGGUGCCCUGAGGUUCCCACUCCUAGUCAUCAAUAAGUGUAAAGCCCAUGGCACUGUGGCUAACCUCCCUAGAUGUAGACAGAAAAGAAAAAUUGACAAGAGAUUUCAACGAAAGAUUGUGCGGAUGGUGAAUAAACAACGUCAACUAACAUCCAAACAAGUUCAAGUUGUCCUGCAGUCUGAGGGUUCAACCCAUACUAUCCGUCAGCGUCUGAAUGAAAAGGGACUCUAUGGUAGGAAACCCAGGAAGACCCCACUUCUCACCCAGAGACAUAAAAAAGCUAGGUUGGAGUUUGCCAAAACUUACCUGAGAGGCUGAGAAAGCCAAAAACGUUUUGGAAAAAUGUUCUCUGGUCAGAUGAGACACAAAAGUAUAUCUUUUUGGGAAAAGGCAUCAACAUAGAGUUUAUAGAGAAAAAACCAAGGCCUUCAAAGAAAAGGACACCGUCGCCACAGUAAAACAUGGCGGAGGUUCCCUGAUGUUUUGGGGUUGCUUUGCUGCCUCUGGCAUUGGACUGCUCGACCGUGUGCAUGGCAUUAUGAAGUCUGAAGACUACCAACAAAUUUUGCAGCAUAAUGUAGGGCCCAGAGUGAGAAAGCUGGGUCUCCCUCAGAGGUCAUGGGCCUUCCAGCAGGACAAUGACCCAAAAGACACUUCAAAAAGCACGAGAAAAUGGUUUGAGAGAAAGCACUAGAGACUUCUAAAGUGGCCAGCAAUGAGUCCAGACCUGAAUUCCAUAGAACAUCUGUGGAGAGAUCUGAUAAUUGCAGUUUGGAGAAGGCACCCUUCAAAUCUCAGAGACUUGGAGCAGUUGGCCAAAGAAGAAUGGUCUAAAAUUUCAGCAGAGCAUUGUAAGAAACUUAUUGAUGGAUACCAGAAGCAGUUGUUCGCACUUAUUUUGUCUAAAAGGUUGUGCUACCAAGUGUUAGGCUGAGGGUGUUAAUACUUUUUCCAGCCCAUUUUUGGAGUUUUGUGUAAAAAAACAUAAAUCUUUUUUUUUUUUUCCCUUCUGUGUUUUUACAUUGCAAGCAAAAUAAAAGAUAUUACUACCAAA